Cannabis sativa is the source of this 1453-nucleotide long non-coding RNA. RefSeq lists it as uncharacterized. Lineage: Eukaryota; Viridiplantae; Streptophyta; Magnoliopsida; Rosales; Cannabaceae. The record is from RefSeq and is a predicted model, not a curated record. The transcript is spliced from 2 exons.
UAAUAAUAAUAAAAAAAAAAACUGUUUUGAAGUAUAAAUGAAAAAACCCCUAUCCUUAAAAAAAGAUAAAAACUGUUUACAAUCUUUAACGACACCACCAAAAUUGAAUGAUAAAAUAUUCAAAUUUCUAACAACUUGUACUAAUACUAGACAAUCAGAUUCGAUAAUACUAACACCGAAAAAAUCGCGCUUCAACCAUGAUAACACUUCCUUGGCAGCCUUGAGUUUAGCAAUAUCUCCAGUUUUAAAUCUAAUAAAUUUGAUCAAGCUGUCAUUUUGAGUAAUUUCUGCAUAACUUUUAGCUUCUUGCUAUGUUAUCCUUUAUUAUAUUCUUUUUCUUUCAAAUUCUUAUCUAUUUGAUACAAGAAGAAACACUUGUACUGAAGUAAGCAACCACACAAACUUGCAAUCUUCGAUUCUUCAUCACCACCCUCAACUGUUCACUAAAAUAAUGUUUAUUCUCAAGGUUAGCCUUUUGACUAGAUUGACUUUUCUGUCAGCACUCAUGUAUUCUCAUUGCAACUCCACAAACUACUAAAUCCAAUAGCAUUUUAGUAUCAUUUUCUUUUAUAAGAAAAAAAAAAUAAACGUAAUGAGAAAUCCACGUGUUACAGAUAAUUAGCUACAUGGGAAGAAAAUAAUUGUAAACUUUUAAUUUACAUCCAAAUACUCGCAACACAAUAUUAUUAUUACACACAAUACCACAAUAUUAUUAUAUUACAUCAUCAUAAUAAUCUAAUGAACACCACAGCAUUAGCAGCUUACUCAAUUAAACAACACUACACUUACUAACUAUACACACACAAGUAGUCCUAAGGUGGAUAAUACACACUGAUUCAUUCAAUCUUUUCAGCUUGGGAUGGCAGAUACUUUUUGGUCAACAUCAUCAGGGUAGUUGGUGAUUUGAUAACGACGAGGAACCUCCCAGUGUUUUAGUGCAGGCAUGGCCUUCUUCACAUCCUCCCAAUCCAAUUUCAGCAUCUUCAGUUCCUUCAAACACAAACCUUCAAGUACACCCCAUUUGUAAGCUGAGCAUUGGUCAUUUUCAAAUUUAGGAAUGAAGUCUGUGAUGUCUGCAUCUUCAAUACAAAGAUAUUGUAACUCUUUGAGAGUUGAAGGAUGAACCCAAUUGGGUAGCCUGGCUCUGUGGAAGCUCCUAAGAUACAGCUCCCUCAGGCUUUCUGGAGGGCACAGAAAAUUUAUCUUUUUAAAUACUUUGUCAUCUCUGCAUUGAUCAGCAUCAAUAUCAAGAACCUUGAGAUUCUUGAGCUGCGGAAGGAUAUCUUUUAGAUCAUUAUUUGAGAUUUGAAUCUCAUCAUUGCUUAGAACAAUAUGUAGCAUUCUCAGCUGGGUUAAUAUUUUUAGCUCAAGAAGCCCGCAAACCUUGGGUUUUGUCUGGCCAACCACUCUGAACCCUGUAAGCUCUUGAAGCUCAGAUAACAUCUUUAAACCC